AAAAUUGGACAAUGGGCGAAAGCCUGAUCCAGCCAUGCUGCGUGUGUGAAGAAGGUCCUCGGAGUGUAAAGAACUCUAUGUUGGGAGGAAGGGCAGUAAGUUAAUACCUUGCUGUUUGGACGUCACCGACAGAAUAAGCACCGGCUAACUUCGUGCCAGCAGCCGCGGUAAUACGAAAGGUGCAAGCGCUAAUCGGAAUUACUGGGGGUAAAGGGAGCGUAGGGGGGUUGUUAAGUUGGAAGUGAAAGCCCCGGGCUCAACCAGGGACCUGGUUUCAAAACUGGCAAGCUAGAGUAAGGGAGAGGGGGGUGGAAUUUCCUGGUUAGCGGUUAAAUGCAUAGAUAUAGGAAGGAACACCAGUUGCGAAGGCAGCCACCUGGGCUUAUACUAACACUGAGGGGAGAAAGCGUGGGGAGCAAAC
RNAcentral lists this ribosomal RNA (421 nucleotides) under uncultured bacterium. RNAcentral's name for it is "partial 16S ribosomal RNA". It matches the Rfam family "Bacterial small subunit ribosomal RNA", at positions 359 to 773 of the family's 1533-position model. The record is from RNAcentral.